This 159-nucleotide ribosomal RNA is filed under the name Mortierella sp. RNAcentral's name for it is "partial large subunit ribosomal RNA". It matches the Rfam family "Eukaryotic large subunit ribosomal RNA", at positions 106 to 261 of the family's 3401-position model. Lineage: Eukaryota; Fungi; Mortierellomycota; Mortierellomycetes; Mortierellales; Mortierellaceae. The record is from RNAcentral.
AGCUCAAAUUUGAAAUCUGGCUCUUUCAGGGUCCGAGUUGUAAUUUAAAGAAGCGUUUUCGGUGGCAGCCUGGGUAUAAAUCCUUUGGAAUAGGGUAUCAUAGAGGGUGAGAAUCCCGUCUUUGACCUAGUGCAUGCUACUAUGUGAUACGUUUUCAAA